Molecule: ribosomal RNA, 427 nt
Filed under: uncultured bacterium
Lineage: Bacteria
Description: partial 16S ribosomal RNA
Rfam family: Bacterial small subunit ribosomal RNA
Source: RNAcentral
UGGGGAAUAUUGCACAAUGGGCGAAAGCCUGAUCCAGCAAUGCCGCGUGAGUGAAGAAGGCCUUCGGGUUGUAAAGCUCUUUUGUCAGGGAAGAAACGGUGAGGGCUAAUAUCCCUUGCUAAUGACGGUACCUGAAGAAUAAGCACCGGCUAACUACGUGCCAGCAGCCGCGGUAAUACGUAGGGUGCAAGCGUUAAUCGGAAUUACUGGGCGUAAAGCGUGCGCAGGCGGUUUUGUAAGUCUGAUGUGAAAUCCCCGGGCUCAACCUGGGAAUUGCAUUGGAGACUGCAAGGCUAGAAUCUGGCAGAGGGGGGUAGAAUUCCACGUGUAGCAGUGAAAUGCGUAGAUAUGUGGAGGAACACCGAUGGCGAAGGCAGCCCCCUGGGUCAAGAUUGACGCUCAUGCACGAAAGCGUGGGGAGCAAACA